GGCCGCGGGAAUUCGAUUCAGGCCUAACACAUGCAAGUCGAACGCUUUGUCUUUAAUUGAUCUGAAGAGCUUGCUCUGAUUUGAUUUUAUCUGACAAAGAGUGGCGAACGGGUGAGUAACACGUGGGUAACCUACCUCUUAGCAGGGGAUAACAUUUGGAAACAAGUGCUAAUACCGUAUAAUACCAACAACCGCAUGGUUGUUGGUUGAAAGAUGGUUCUGCUAUCACUAAGAGAUGGACCCGCGGUGCAUUAGCUAGUUGGCAAGGUAACGGCUUACCAAGGCAAUGAUGCAUAGCCGAGUUGAGAGACUGAUCGGCCACAAUGGGACUGAGACACGGCCCAUACUCCUACGGGAGGCAGCAGUAGGGAAUCUUCCACAAUGGGCGCAAGCCUGAUGGAGAAGCGCCGCGUGUGUGAUGAAGGGUUUCGGCUCGUAAUAAAAGGGAUAAGAGAAGAACGGCACUGAGAGUAACUGUUCAGUGUGUGACG
RNAcentral lists this ribosomal RNA (491 nucleotides) under uncultured bacterium. RNAcentral describes it as "partial 16S ribosomal RNA". It matches the Rfam family "Bacterial small subunit ribosomal RNA", at positions 39 to 474 of the family's 1533-position model. The record is from RNAcentral.